Molecule: ribosomal RNA, 2946 nt
Filed under: Triticum aestivum (bread wheat)
Lineage: Eukaryota; Viridiplantae; Streptophyta; Magnoliopsida; Poales; Poaceae
Description: partial small subunit ribosomal RNA
Source: RNAcentral
AUGGAGCUGGUGGUGGGAGCUUCGGAGGCGACGAUGAAGUCCGUCAUGGGCAAGCUGGGCGUCCUCCUCGCCCAGGAGUACACCCUGAUCCGGGGCGUCAACGGCGACCUCCAGUACAUCAACGACGAGCUGGCCAGCAUGCAGUCCUUCCUCCGCGACCUCACCGCCGUCAGCGCCGGCCAAGUCCAGAGCCACGGCCACCGGAUGAAGGACUGGAUGAAGCAGAUCCGCGACAUCACCUACGACAUCGAGGAUUGCAUCGACGACUCCGCCCACCGCCUCCACGGCCUGCGCUCCGACAUGUGCUGCUACUACUUCGCCAACAGCGUCUACGAGGUCCUCACAUGGUGGCCUCGCCGCGACGUCGCCUCCAAGAUCUCCGUUCUCAAGAUGCGGGCGCAGCAGAUCGGGGAGCGGCGGGAGAGGUACGGCGUCAACAACCCGGAGGCUGCCGGCGGAUCUGAGGGUUCUCAUGCCGGAAACGGCACCGCUGCUGGAUUCGACGCCGCCGACAACCAGGAGGCGAGCCUUGAGCUCGUCGCCAUGAAGGAUCCGGUGGGGGUGGAGGACCACAUGAAAGAGCUGGAAGAGUGGCUGACUAACGACAAGAACACCUCCGGCGUGCUGUAUGUUGUUGGGUUCGGAGGGGUGGGGAAGACCACCAUUGCUACCGCCUUGUACCGGAAAUUUGGGGACCAAUUCGACCACCGCGCCAUGGUCAACGUGUCUCAGAGCUCCGACAUCAACGCUGUCCUGACCAACAUCAAGAAUCAAGUCAUGCCGCAGUCCAGCGGCCAAAGGCAGCAAGCCGGCGGAGGCGUACUCGGUCGGCUCAAGCGAGGCACCUCGGCAUUGGCGGCCAAGUGCUGCAGCGCCGGCGCGUCAGAGGAAACGCGUGGUGAGACGAAGCUGGAUAAGCUCAAGAAAGAUCUCGGGAAACACUUUGAUGACAGCAGUUACUUGGUCUUGGUUGAUGAUGUUUGGUCUGCAGCAACGUGGGACCAAAUCAGAAAGUCACUUCCUUCAAGCAAGCAGCGCACCAGAAUAAUAGUUACUACACGGUUUCAAGCUGUUGCCACAAGACGCAGAGGAGAAGAAGGUGAUCAUACUCGUAAAGUUUCCCCUCUUGGCAUUGGAGAAUCUGAGAAGCUAUUUAAGCAGGCCUUCUUUGAAUCCAAAGGAAGCAAGGUUGAUAAGGUUCCAAAGGAAGUCUGGAAAAUGUGCGGGGGGCUGCCACUGGCCAUAGUUAUCAUGGCUGGUCAUGUGGCUUGCAACCCGAACAAAUCAGAGGACGAAUGGUCGAAGGUUUGCAAUUCUCUAUUUCCAGAGUUAGGGAAAGAUCAUGGCAAAGAUGGUGGGAGAGAUCUUACCCAGGAGGAAGUUGGUAGGAUUGUGAGUCAUUGCUACAAUGACAUGCCUGCUGACAUCAAAACUUGUUCCCUGUAUUUGAGCAUAUUUCCAAAGGGCCAGAGAAUCAGCAGGAAGCGUUUAACAAGGCGAUGGAUAGCUGAAGCUUUCGUUGCUGAGAAGCAGGGCCUGAGUGUGGAGGACGUUGCAGAGACAUAUUUCAAUCAUCUCAUAAGGAGGAAGAUCAUCCGACCAGUGGAGCACAGCAGCAAUGGGAAGGUGAAGAAAUGCAUAGUCCACGACAUGGUCCUUGAACACAUUGUAGCGAAGGCAAGUGAAGAAAAUUUCAUCACUGUGAUUGGUGGUAACUGGCUUAUGCAGCUACCUAGCAGCAAGGUCCGCCGGCUGUCCCUCCAGGAAAGCGAUUCCAAACGUGCAAAUGAUACAGAGAAGAUGAACCUGUCUCAUGUCCGAUCACUGACCAUGUUUGGGAGCUUGAACCAACUGCCUUCCCAUUCAUUCAAGUUUGGAAUUGUACAAGUCCUGGAUCUUGAAGGCUGCAUAGGUUUCAAAGCGCAUCAUACAGAGGAGAUAUGCAAGAUGCUUCUUCUCAAGUAUCUCAGCCUCCGAAGAAGUGACACUAAACAGCUUCCAAAAGCGAUUGGAAAGCUUGAGAACCUCGAGACUCUGGACAUUAGAGAGACAAGUGUUGUUGAGUUGCCUAAAACCGUAUGCCAGCUUGAACGACUGGUAAACGUACUUGGUGGGGAUAAAAGAACAAGAAGGGCACUGAAGCUUCCUCAAGAGUUGAACAAGAAGAAGAAAAUGAAGGCCUUGCGCAUACUGUCAGGGAUUGAGAUUGUUGGGGGAUUGGCUGACUUGCAUCAUCUGACUGAGCUGAGGAAGCUUGCCAUCUACAAGCUCAGCACCAUGAGCGACGAUCCGAGUUUCAAAGAUUUAAGCUCCUCGAUCGAGUACCUUGGGGGCUACUCUCUGAACACCCUCAUAAUUGAUGACGAGUCAUCCAAGUUUAUCAAUUCACUGGAUGAUCUGUCAUCACCACCAAAAUUCCUUGUUGCCCUCGAGUUAUCUGGCAAGAUGGUUCAGCUCCCUGGCUGGAUCACACAACUCACUGCUCUCACCAAGUUAACCCUCUCAGUAACAGCUCUCCGGACAGAUAACUUGCUGCUCCUUAGCAAUCUAGAUGCACUGUUCUCCCUCACCUUCUCAUUCAGGGCAGAGAAGCAGGAUUCUGAAACACUGACUAUUCUAGCAGAAAACAAGCUGUCCUCUGGUGGGGAGAUCACAAUCCCAAAUGCUGGUUUUAAGAGCCUUAAGCUUCUUCGCUUCUUUGCUCCUCUCUUGCCAGUACUGAGCUUUUCGAAGAAUGCCAUGCCAGAGCUGGAGAGGCUUGAGCUACAGUUCAGCAUGCUGGAGGGGCUCUAUGGCGUGGAAAACCUUGCGGGAAUCAAGGUGGUGCAUCUGACGUUGAAGGACAAAGACGGUGAAUAUAUGACGAAAGAGGUGCAGCACGAGGUGGAGACAGCAGUGAAGAGGAGGACCGAUGGCAAGGCGCCCAAGAUAAUCCUCGAUCAGUGA